GAAAAGGCUGUGAAGAAGAGGAGUACAUACACAACCCCGACAGAGAGAACGGCUCAACGGUUGAGAGGCUGUUCAGGGAAGGUGUGGAUGGAAGGUAGCUUCGGAGCCGGGGGCCCCAAAGCAGAGUGCAAGUAGGGAAUCACGGAUAGUCUCCGUUAAAGGACUGAAUGAGAUUGCCGGAAUGUUUAGAGAAUUCGGCAGAAGCCAGGUGGUACCGCGGAAGAUAUUUCGCCCUUUGC
This 239-nucleotide non-coding RNA is filed under the name [Clostridium] symbiosum. RNAcentral's name for it is "Clostridium symbiosum T-box sequence". It matches the Rfam family "T-box leader". From Rfam's summary of the family: Uncharged tRNA acts as the effector for transcription antitermination of genes in the T-box leader family. T-boxes are found upstream of many aminoacyl-tRNA synthetase genes and some amino acid biosynthetic genes usually in Gram-positive bacteria. The anticodon of a specific tRNA base pairs to a specifier sequence within the T-box motif, and the NCCA acceptor tail of the tRNA base pairs to a conserved bulge in the T-box antiterminator hairpin. Lineage: Bacteria; Bacillati; Bacillota; Clostridia; Lachnospirales; Lachnospiraceae. The record is from RNAcentral.